RNAcentral lists this unclassified non-coding RNA (207 nucleotides) under uncultured Clavulina. RNAcentral's name for it is "sequence contains ITS1". Lineage: Eukaryota; Fungi; Basidiomycota; Agaricomycetes; Cantharellales; Hydnaceae. The record is from RNAcentral.
AUGAGUUGUGAUGGGGUUUGAUGCUGGCAGCCAAUUUUUGGAUGCAUGUGCUUGCCCUAACAAUCAUCUUCCAAACACCUGUGCACAUUUUUGAGGGAGUUUCGAGUUUUAUUGCCGUUUUUGGUGAUUUUCUUGUAUUCCCUUGAAUUAUUAUACGCUGUUAACAAUGAUGAACGUGCUCUGUGCCGCAAGGCCAUUAAUAUAAUA